CGCGGAUUCCUGUUGGUUCCUGCAGAGUACACGGAACCUGCUCUCAGUGCAUAAAACGCCAGGAAGACCCGCUGCGAUGUGGGUGGUGCGGGCACUACUGUGCCCACUUUGCGGAAUGUGCCGAUCCAGCAAAAUUUACCCUUGAACGUUGCCCAGUGGAGUUGGAGCGGGUAUAUCCGCUCAACGGGCCUGUGUCCGGUGGCACUAUCAUCACGAUACUGGGAGACAACUUGGGCUCGCCUGAGCGCAAGCCUUACAGCAGCAUCGAGAUAUUAUUCGGAAACCGCACUUGUAGCAUCGUUGACUGGUCUUCGAAGCAAGUGAAAUGUAGGACGCCCCCUGUGCAGCAGAGCUCGAAAGUAGACGUUGUGGUAAAGGUGAUCGACAUUUUCAGCAAUACCGGCAAAAGUUAUCACGUUACGGAAAAUCGAACAGUUCCCUCUGGCUUCGAAUACAAAGUUGUAUCGUUCACUGCAGUCGCUCCAAAUUAUGGACCAGUAGCCGGAGGAACCAACGUUUCUUUGAACGGAGUUAACCUCGACAUCGGCUUAGAGCGCGUAGUCAAAAUCGGCAGAAGCUUAUGCCGAAU
Molecule: long non-coding RNA, 589 nt
Organism: Rhipicephalus microplus (southern cattle tick)
Lineage: Eukaryota; Metazoa; Arthropoda; Arachnida; Ixodida; Ixodidae
Source: RefSeq, a predicted model, not a curated record